UCAGUACAUAUGAUUUCAGUUCACCUAUCCCCCUUAAAUGAGUUUCAGAUCCACCACUGUGUACCUAUACUUACCUAUUUAUUUUUAUGCAAAACUGCCAAAUUGUAUGUUGUAAAAUAUCCUUUUACUGAUUUUAUUAUUAUAUGUAAUAAAUUUACCUAUAAUUUUAUACAGUGUAGGCGUGUACUUGUAUCAUAAAAUACGUAAUAUGUAUUCAAUUUAGGUACCUAGCUUUUGUACGUUAAGUUACCUACUUCAUGGCUAAUAUUUAUACGUUUUUUUAAAACUUUAAGAACAUAUUAUUAAACGAAUUUCUCACCGUUACUUAUACGUUAGUAAUACCUGUACAGUAUUUUGAUAGAAUUGAUUAUCUGUGCGUCGAGAUUUAAGUUCCCAUAUAAUGGAAUAAAAACCGCGGUGAAUUUCGAGGAUAGAUGUAGACUUCCAGACAGGACCUGUAGACUCUUCUAUAACAUAUAGCAUAGUUACUGUAAACAC
This is a non-coding RNA of Cinara cedri, 498 nucleotides long. The record is from the annotation of a GenBank genome assembly. Lineage: Eukaryota; Metazoa; Arthropoda; Insecta; Hemiptera; Aphididae.